UAGGGAAUCUUCCGCAAUGGGCGAAAGCCUGACGGAGCAACGCUGCGUGAGUGAUGAAGGUCUUCGGAUCGUAAAACUCUGUUAUUAGGGAAGAACAAAUGUGUAAGUAACUAUGCACGUCUUGACGGUACCUAAUCAGAAAGCCACGGCUAACUACGUGCCAGCAGCCGCGGUAGUACGUAGGUGGCAAGCGUUAUCCGGAAUUAUUGGGCGUAAAGCGCGCGUAGGCGGUUUUUUAAGUCUGAUGUGAAAGCCCACGGCUCAACCGUGGAGGGUCAUUGGAAACUGGAAAACUUGAGUGCAGAAGAGGAAAGUGGAAUUCCAUGUGUAGCGGUGAAAUGCGCAGAGAUAUGGAGGAACAACAGUGGCGAAGGCGACUUUCUGGUCUGUAACUGACGCUGAUGUGCGAAAGCGUGGGGAUCAAACAGG
Molecule: ribosomal RNA, 429 nt
Filed under: Actinomycetes bacterium
Lineage: Bacteria; Bacillati; Actinomycetota; Actinomycetes
Description: Actinobacteria bacterium partial 16S ribosomal RNA
Rfam family: Bacterial small subunit ribosomal RNA
Source: RNAcentral